RNAcentral lists this small RNA (145 nucleotides) under Pongo abelii (Sumatran orangutan). Its description in RNAcentral is "Metazoan signal recognition particle RNA (ENSPPYG00000030004.1)". It matches the Rfam family "Metazoan signal recognition particle RNA". From Rfam's summary of the family: The signal recognition particle (SRP) is a universally conserved ribonucleoprotein. It is involved in the co-translational targeting of proteins to membranes. Lineage: Eukaryota; Metazoa; Chordata; Mammalia; Primates; Hominidae. The record is from RNAcentral.
GCCGGGUGUGGUGGCGCACGCCUGUAAUCCCAGCUACUCAGGAGGCUGAGGCAGGAGAAUUGCUUGAACCCAGGAGACGGAGGUUGCAGUGAGCCGAGAUCAUGCCACUGCACUCCAGCCUGGGUGACAGAGUGAGACUCUGUUU